UAGCCGUAAACGAUACUCGCUAGGUGUCGGCCACGGUGCGACCGUUGUCGGUGCCGUAGGGAAGCCGUGAAGCGAGCCACCUGGGAAGUACGGCCGCAAGGCCGAAACUUAAAGGAAUUGGCGGGGGAGCACCACAACGGGUGGAGCUUGCGGUUUAAUUGGAUUCGACGCCGGAAAUCUUACCGGGACCGACAGCAACAUGAAGGCCAGGCUGAAGACUUUGCCGGAUUAGCUGAGAGGAGGUGCAUGGCGUGUGACUGU
RNAcentral lists this ribosomal RNA (261 nucleotides) under uncultured archaeon. RNAcentral's name for it is "partial 16S ribosomal RNA". It matches the Rfam family "Archaeal small subunit ribosomal RNA", at positions 748 to 1008 of the family's 1478-position model. The record is from RNAcentral.